AUUGAACGCUGGCGGCAUGCCUUACACAUGCAAGUCGAACGGCAGCACGGGUGCUUGCACCUGGUGGCGAGUGGCGAACGGGUGAGUAAUACAUCGGAACAUGUCCUGUAGCGGGGGAUAGCCCGGCGAAAGCCGGAUUAAUACCGCAUACGAUCCACGGAUGAAAGCGGGGGACCUUCGGGCCUCGCGCUAUAGGGUUGGCCGAUGGCUGAUUAGCUAGUUGGUGGGGUAAAGGCCUACCAAGGCGACGAUCAGUAGCUGGUCUGAGAGGACGACCAGCCACACUGGGACUGAGACACGGCCCAGACUCCUACGGGAGGCAGCAGUGGGGAAUUUUGGACAAUGGGCGAAAGCCUGAUCCAGCAAUGCCGCGUGUGUGAAGAAGGCCUUCGGGUUGUAAAGCACUUUUGUCCGGAAAGAAAUCCUUGGCUCUAAUACAGUCGGGGGAUGACGGUACCGGAAGAAUAAGCACCGGCUAACUACGUG
This 486-nucleotide ribosomal RNA is filed under the name uncultured bacterium. RNAcentral's name for it is "partial 16S ribosomal RNA". It matches the Rfam family "Bacterial small subunit ribosomal RNA", at positions 30 to 507 of the family's 1533-position model. The record is from RNAcentral.